RNAcentral lists this ribosomal RNA (786 nucleotides) under uncultured bacterium. RNAcentral describes it as "bacterial SSU rRNA". It matches the Rfam family "Bacterial small subunit ribosomal RNA", at positions 12 to 789 of the family's 1533-position model. The record is from RNAcentral.
UUUGAUCAUGGCUCAGAUUGAACGCUGGCGGCAUGCCUUACACAUGCAAGUCGAACGGUAACAGGCCUUUCGGGGUGCUGACGAGUGGCGAACGGGUGAGUAAUGCAUCGGAACGUGUCCAGUGGUGGGGGAUAACCCCGAGAAAUCGGGGCUAAUACCGCAUGAGCCCGAGAGGGGAAAGCGGGGGACCUGAUGAGGGCCUCGCGCGACUGGAGCGGCCGAUGUCCGAUUAGCUAGUUGGUGGGGUAAAGGCCCACCAAGGCGACGAUCGGUAGCGGGUCUGAGAGGACGGCCCGCCACACUGGGACUGAGACACGGCCCAGAUUCCUACGGGAGGCAGCAGUGGGGAAUUUUGGACAAUGGGCGAAAGCCUGAUCCAGCCAUGCCGCGUGCGGGAAGAAGGCCUUCGGGUUGUAAACCGCUUUCGGCCGGGACGAAAUCGCUUUCCUGAACAGGGGGGGUGGAUGACGGUACCGGCAGAAGAAGCACCGGCUAAUUACGUGCCAGCAGCCGCGGUAAUACGUAGGGUGCGAGCGUUAAUCGGAAUUACUGGGCGUAAAGCGUGCGCAGGCGGCCUUUUAAGUCAGGUGUGAAAGCCCCGGGCUUAACCUGGGAAUGGCGCUUGAAACUGGAGGGCUUGGAGUGCGGCAGAGGGGGGUGGAAUUCCUGGUGUAGCGGUGAAAUGCGUAGAGAUCAGGAGGAACACCGAUGGCGAAGGCAGCCCCCUGGGCCGCGUCUGACGCUCAGGCACGAAAGCGUGGGGAGCAAACAGGAUUAGAUACCCUG